CCUAUGGACAUAAGGAGUGACUCUACCAUUUUCUCUCAGGUACCUCUUGCUUAAUUGGAUUGGCUUCAGGAAAGGGAGAGAGCCCAAGCAGCCUUGGCAUGUCCCAGGCUGAGGCUGGAGGCUGUGGUCAGUCUGUCCAGCCUCCUGCCUCUGUUGUCUCACCUUUGUAUCCUCCUUUCCAUGUGUCAGCUCCUAAUGUGGGACACUGCUGUUGAGCUCUGGUUUUAUGCCUAGAAGUCAAGAAAAAAUUAAUCCAAUCAAGUUUCUACUGGCAGAUGGAUACUGCUGUAAAUCAAGCAGGACUUCUCCCUUCCAUAUUAUGUUGGAGCAUAUGCAAUUGCUAUUUAACCACUUUAAAAAUUACUGUUUUUUUAAAUUGUGGUACAGUUUUUAGUUGUACAGGUUAGUGGUAUUAAACACAUUCAUAAUGUGUGAUUAUCUCUACCAUUCAUGUCCAUACCUCUUUUUAAUUUUCCCAAAUGGAAAUUCUGUACCCAUUAGAUAUUGACUCACAUUUCUCCCUCACCAAUCCCCCACCCAGCAACUCCCAUUUUAUGUAUUUUUGAUUUUUGAUUUUUUGUGUGUGGUUUUAACUACUCUAUCUACUGUAAGAGGAAUGAUAUAUUUAGUUUUUUUGGGGGGGGGUUGUGCACGUGUGUGUGUGUGUGUGUGUGUGUGUGUGUGUGUGUGUACGUAGCUUAUUUCACUCAGCAUAAUGUCCUCAAGGUUGAUCCAGGUAGCACGUGUCAUAACUUCCUUUAUAAAGCUGAAUAGUUUUCCAUCGUAUGUAUACACCGCAUUUAGCUAUUUCAUUCCUUUGUUGAUAUACACACAGGUUGCUCCUAUGUUUUAGCUAUUGGGAAUAAUGCUACUGAACAUGAGUGUACAAAUGUCUCUUUGAGACUCUCCUUUCAGUUUUUUUUUUCAUAUACACUCAGAAGUGGAAUUGCUGCAUCAAAUGGUAAUUCCGUUUUUAAUUUUUUGAGGAGCCCCAUACUGUUUCCCAGCAGGUAUACUAUUUUACAUUCCCACCAGUGGUGCCCAGGGUUCCAAUUUCUCCAUAUCCUCACCAACAUCUGAUUUUUGUUUUUUCAGUAGUGACCACCCCUGGAUAUUAAGUGGUAUCCCAUUGCUUUGAUUUGCAUCUCUUUAAUGAUUAUUGGUGGUAAACAUCUUUACAUGUGCUUAUUGACCAUUUGUAGAUCUUCUUUGUAGAAAUGUCUAUUCAAGUCCCCUGCCUGUAGAUUGCAUUAUCUGUUUUUGUUGUUGUUGUUGUUGUUGUUGCUGAGUUUUAAGAUUUCUCUAUAUAUUCUGGUUAUUGAUGCCUUAUCAGAUGUAUGAUUCGCAAGUAGUUCUCCCUCCUGUGGAUUGCCUUUUAACUCCGUUGAAAGCGUCUUCUGAUGAAUAAAAUUUAAAAUUUC
Molecule: long non-coding RNA, 1421 nt
Filed under: Ictidomys tridecemlineatus (thirteen-lined ground squirrel)
Lineage: Eukaryota; Metazoa; Chordata; Mammalia; Rodentia; Sciuridae
Description: lncRNA (ENSSTOG00000031817.1)
Source: RNAcentral